RNAcentral lists this ribosomal RNA (358 nucleotides) under Salmonella enterica subsp. enterica serovar Enteritidis. Its description in RNAcentral is "partial 23S ribosomal RNA". It matches the Rfam family "Bacterial large subunit ribosomal RNA", at positions 1589 to 1928 of the family's 2925-position model. Lineage: Bacteria; Pseudomonadati; Pseudomonadota; Gammaproteobacteria; Enterobacterales; Enterobacteriaceae. The record is from RNAcentral.
AGCAACAAAUGCCCUGCUUCCAGGAAAAGCCUCUAAGCAUCAGGUAACAUCAAAUCGUACCCCAAACCGACACAGGUGGUCAGGUAGAGAAUACCAAGGCGCUUGAGAGAACUCGGGUGAAGGAACUAGGCAAAAUGGUGCCGUAACUUCGGGAGAAGGCACGCUGACACGUAGGUGAAGUGAUUUACUCAUGGAGCUGAAGUCAGUCGAAGAUACCAGCUGGCUGCAACUGUUUAUUAAAAACACAGCACUGUGCAAACACGAAAGUGGACGUAUACGGUGUGACGCCUGCCCGGUGCCGGAAGGUUAAUUGAUGGGGUCAGCGCAAGCGAAGCUCCUGAUCGAAGCCCCGGUAAAC